GCCCGGGACAGCGUCCAGGCCGGGCCAGGGUCCCCAUCCCGCUAGCGAGCCGCGUUCUUACCCUUCCGGGCCCCGCUGCCCCGGCAGCAGACACAGGAGCCUGCGGGCGUGUUGCGGGCGCGCGGGAGGACCUGCGUGAGUCGGGGCACGGGGAGGCGCCGGACUGACGUGUGCACCGUGUGUGCGUGCGCAGGGACACGCGGGUUCUUGCUGGAAACCUCGGCCCCAGUGGCAGCGCUCGGGAAGGGGGAGGAGGCCUUCCGAUUCUCUGAGCUGUGGCCCGGAGGUCCCUGCGCUAAUGGAAGACGCGCGGGGCUCCUGGGCCUCCUGCUUGGCCUCCGCGCUGCUAGAUCCCCCGGGAGUUGAUGUGGCCGGCGCUGGACCCAAGCCUCGCCUGGGUGGACAAAGUGGCCCCCGGCCCCCCAUCAAAGCCCGCGUGGGCCCCAUCCCCCGAGGGCAGUCCCAGGCCCAGCGCGGACACUGGGCGCCUGGGGCGGCGCAGAUACAGAGUAGAGGCGGCGACUGUUGCUCCCGAGCUCCGCGCUCCGGAUACAAUGUGUCUGGCGCCUCCGACCCGCCCGCGCGGCGUCUAGACAAUCUCAGAGAAAACCCCUGUGCGCCGAUUUUGCACUACAGAUUAGCGAUUUUCUCCUGUAGCAAAGCUACUAGCAGCCAAUUUCCAUGCAUUUGAGAGGCAAAAAGACAAAAUAAAACAAAACGUGGAUUGGGU
Molecule: long non-coding RNA, 730 nt
Organism: Homo sapiens (human)
Lineage: Eukaryota; Metazoa; Chordata; Mammalia; Primates; Hominidae
Source: Ensembl